GGAGGGGUGGCAGAGCGGUUGAAUGCGGCGGUCUUGAAAACCGUUAGGGGCCUUCUCGGUCCCUCGGGGGUUCGAAUCCCUCCCCCUCCG
Molecule: transfer RNA, 90 nt
Filed under: Solirubrobacterales bacterium
Lineage: Bacteria; Bacillati; Actinomycetota; Thermoleophilia; Solirubrobacterales
Also listed under: 1 other name
Description: tRNA-Ser
Rfam family: tRNA
About the family: Transfer RNA (tRNA) molecules are approximately 80 nucleotides in length. Their secondary structure includes four short double-helical elements and three loops (D, anti-codon, and T loops).
Source: RNAcentral